GUUAUAUGGGCUAAUGGACUUCUCAUAUGACUCUAUCUUGGGCUUCCUUUGGGUCCUCUAAUAUGUCGAUAAACUAUACCAUCUCAUUUGGUCAGUUCUUGGGAUGCGUGUAAGAAAAUCAUCCAUCUCAAGUUCUACUCCAAGCAAAAAACGCAAAAGUGAGAAGUGAAUAAUGGGGUUUAAGCAAGGAAUGGGGACGGCUUAAUGAUUAUACUCAAGAUUGCCCUCAUGGAUUCAAA
Molecule: small RNA, 239 nt
Filed under: Arabidopsis thaliana (thale cress)
Lineage: Eukaryota; Viridiplantae; Streptophyta; Magnoliopsida; Brassicales; Brassicaceae
Description: ATSL279010
Source: RNAcentral